CAUGCCCAGCCCCCUGGGGGUGAGGGGCGGGACUUAUGGCCCAGGUCUCUUUUUAUGCUGUUGGCAACAAUCCCCAGGUGGGUCUUCCAUGCCUGGAGCCACACUGAUACCAUUCAGCUGGGUGUUCCAAAUUGACCAUCAGUCCACCACAGUGUCUCUACCUCUAAACACAUCUGUCUCACAGAGCUGUAAAGGUUGAACAAGGAAGUCUACCAGGAUCAAGCAGUAGGUGAAAAAUGCUGCUGGAUCACAUAAGAUGCCAAAAGAACCACGGCUAAUGGAAGCUUUCUCAAAGACCCCCCAGGACAGUGGCCUGCUCAUGUCUUCUCAUCUUGGGUGGCAUAGACUGCCUGCAGCUGAGGACCCACUGCCACAUCCUCUGCAACAGUGCCUUGUUGGCCAGUGUGUUGAUGACUGACUGAUAGGUAUGAGUAUUAAAUGCUUUUGCCUCCUUCCUAAUGGAACAUCAGAGACCUUUCCACCAGCCUCUCCCAUUGCCAGUUAGGUGGGUCUGAUUCACUCUGUUGUAAUUCAGCACAUUCUCUGCAGCCACCAUGGGAACUCUGGAGGCUCAGAAGUGGUGCUGGUCUUACUACCCUCAAACCAGGGUAAUGAGGUUCUCGUGUAAUCACAGGCCCAGGCAGAGGACUUACCACAGACCACAUAGCUGGAAGGCAGAACCGCCAGCAGUGUGGCCGCCCAGGCAUGGUUAAGCACCCUGAUCUGAAAUCCCAUAAU
This 738-nucleotide long non-coding RNA is filed under the name Heterocephalus glaber (naked mole-rat). Its description in RNAcentral is "lncRNA (ENSHGLG00000049193.1)". The record is from RNAcentral. Lineage: Eukaryota; Metazoa; Chordata; Mammalia; Rodentia; Bathyergidae.